This 202-nucleotide non-coding RNA is filed under the name Lysinibacillus sphaericus. The record is from RNAcentral. Lineage: Bacteria; Bacillati; Bacillota; Bacilli; Caryophanales; Bacillaceae.
UUAAUAUCUAACAUUACAAGUUUGUGUGAAGAAUAUCCACAUGAUUAAAAGGAAAAUGGGUGUAAAUCCCAUGCUGUCCCGCAGCUGUAAAUGAGGAGUUUUGUUUCAAGUAUUACUGAGUAUGCUUUUAUAAUGUACUUGGGAAGGUGAAGCAAGAUGACGAUUCAUAAGCCAGUAUGCCUGCUUGUAAUAAGAUUCAUUG